GACGUAGGGCGCGAGCGUUGUCCGGAAUUAUUGGGCGUAAAGAGCUCGUAGGCGGUCUGUCACGUCGGCUGUGAAAACCUGGGGCUCAACCCCAGGCCUGCAGUCGAUACGGGCAGACUAGAGUCCGGCAGGGGAGACUGGAAUUCCUGGUGUAGCGGUGAAAUGCGCAGAUAUCAGGAGGAACACCGGUGGCGAAGGCGGGUCUCUGGGCCGGAACUGACGCUGAGGAGCGAAAGCGUGGGGAGCGAACAGGA
RNAcentral lists this ribosomal RNA (254 nucleotides) under uncultured bacterium. Its description in RNAcentral is "partial 16S ribosomal RNA". It matches the Rfam family "Bacterial small subunit ribosomal RNA", at positions 524 to 777 of the family's 1533-position model. The record is from RNAcentral.